RNAcentral lists this ribosomal RNA (505 nucleotides) under uncultured bacterium. RNAcentral describes it as "partial 16S ribosomal RNA". It matches the Rfam family "Bacterial small subunit ribosomal RNA", at positions 28 to 507 of the family's 1533-position model. The record is from RNAcentral.
GACGAACGCUGGCGGCGUGCCUAAUACAUGCAAGUAGAACGCACAGUUUAUACCGUAGCUUGCUACACCAUAGACUGUGAGUUGCGAACGGGUGAGUAACGCGUAGGUAACCUGCCUGGUAGCGGGGGAUAACUAUUGGAAACGAUAGCUAAUACCGCAUAAUAUUAAUUAUUGCAUGAUAAUUAAUUGAAAGGUGCAAUUGCACCACUACCAGAUGGACCUGCGUUGUAUUAGCUAGUAGGUGAGGUAACGGCUCACCUAGGCGACGAUACAUAGCCGACCUGAGAGGGUGAUCGGCCACACUGGGACUGAGACACGGCCCAGACUCCUACGGGAGGCAGCAGUAGGGAAUCUUCGGCAAUGGACGAAAGUCUGACCGAGCAACGCCGCGUGAGUGAAGAAGGUUUUCGGAUCGUAAAGCUCUGUUGUAAGAGAAGAACGGGUGUGAGAGUGGAAAGUUCACACUGUGACGGUAACUUACCAGAAAGGGACGGCUAACUACGUG